ACGGGGGGAGCAAGCGUUGUUCGGAUUUACUGGGCGUAAAGGGCGGGUAGGCGGCCACCGCAAGUCAGUUGUGAAAUCUCUGGGCUUAACCCAGAAAGGUCAACUGAUACUGCGGGGCUAGAGUGCAGAAGGGGCAACUGGAAUUCCUGGUGUAGCGGUGAAAUGCGCAGAUAUCAGGAAGAACACCCGUGGCUAAGGCGGCUCUCUAGUACGGUACUGACGCUGAGACGCGAAAGCGUGGGGAGCGAACAGGA
Molecule: ribosomal RNA, 254 nt
Filed under: uncultured prokaryote
Description: partial 16S ribosomal RNA
Rfam family: Bacterial small subunit ribosomal RNA
Source: RNAcentral